This 923-nucleotide ribosomal RNA is filed under the name Cadophora bubakii. Its description in RNAcentral is "partial large subunit ribosomal RNA". It matches the Rfam family "Eukaryotic large subunit ribosomal RNA", at positions 38 to 976 of the family's 3401-position model. The record is from RNAcentral. Lineage: Eukaryota; Fungi; Ascomycota; Leotiomycetes; Helotiales; Ploettnerulaceae.
GCAUAUCAAUAAGCGGAGGAAAAGAAACCAACAGGGAUUACCUCAGUAACGGCGAGUGAAGCGGUAACAGCUCAAAUUUGAAAGCUAGCUCUUUUAGGGUUCGCAUUGUAAUUUGUAGAAGAUGCUUCGGGUGUGGCCCCGGUCUAAGUUCCUUGGAACAGGACGUCAUAGAGGGUGAGAAUCCCGUAUGUGACUGGGUGCUUUCGCUCAUGUGAAGCUCUUUCGACGAGUCGAGUUGUUUGGGAAUGCAGCUCAAAAUGGGUGGUAAAUUUCAUCUAAAGCUAAAUAUUGGCCAGAGACCGAUAGCGCACAAGUAGAGUGAUCGAAAGAUGAAAAGCACUUUGGAAAGAGAGUUAAACAGUACGUGAAAUUGUUGAAAGGGAAGCGCUUGCAACCAGACUUGCGCGCUGAUGAUCAUCCGGGCUUCUGCCCGGUGCACUCGUCUGCGCUCAGGCCAGCAUCGGUUUCGGUGGUGGGAUAAAGGCCUUGGGAAUGUAGCUUCUUUCGGGGAGUGUUAUAGCCCUCGGUGCAAUGCCGCCUACCGGGACCGAGGACCGCGCUUCGGCUAGGAUGCUGGCGUAAUGGUUGUAAGCGACCCGUCUUGAAACACGGACCAAGGAGUCUAACAUCUAUGCGAGUGUUUGGGUGUCAAACCCAUACGCGUAAUGAAAGUGAACGGAGGUGAGAACCCUUAAGGGUGCAUCAUCGACCGAUCCUGAUGUCUUCGGAUGGAUUUGAGUAAGAGCAUAGCUGUUGGGACCCGAAAGAUGGUGAACUAUGCGUGAAUAGGGUGAAGCCAGAGGAAACUCUGGUGGAGGCUCGCAGCGGUUCUGACGUGCAAAUCGAUCGUCAAAUUUGCGUAUAGGGGGCGAAAGACUAAUCGAACCAUCUAGUAGCUGGUUUCCUGCCGAAGUUCCCCUCAG